AUCGAACGCUGGCGGCAUGCUUUACACAUGCAAGUCGAACGGUAACAGGGAGCUUGCUCCGCUGACGAGUGGCGAACGGGUGAGUAAUAUAUCGGAACGUACCCAGAAGUGGGGGAUAACGUAGCGAAAGUUACGCUAAUACCGCAUACGAUCCACGGAUGAAAGUAGGGGACCUUCGGGCCUUAUGCUUUUGGAGCGGCCGAUAUCUGAUUAGCUAGUUGGUGAGGUAAAGGCUCACCAAGGCGACGAUCAGUAGCUGGUCUGAGAGGACGACCAGCCACACUGGAACUGAGACACGGUCCAGACUCCUACGGGAGGCAGCAGUGGGGAAUUUUGGACAAUGGGCGCAAGCCUGAUCCAGCAAUGCCGCGUGAGUGAAGAAGGCCUUCGGGUUGUAAAGCUCUUUUGUCAGGGAAGAAACGGCUGUGGCUAAUAUCCACGGCUAAUGACGGUACCUGAAGAAUAAGCACCGGCUAACUACGUGCCAGCCGCCGCCGUAA
This 500-nucleotide ribosomal RNA is filed under the name uncultured bacterium. RNAcentral's name for it is "partial 16S ribosomal RNA". It matches the Rfam family "Bacterial small subunit ribosomal RNA", at positions 30 to 523 of the family's 1533-position model. The record is from RNAcentral.